Molecule: long non-coding RNA, 2531 nt
Organism: Oncorhynchus tshawytscha (Chinook salmon)
Lineage: Eukaryota; Metazoa; Chordata; Actinopteri; Salmoniformes; Salmonidae
Source: Ensembl
UCCCCAUGCCCCUCUCGUUAUAAAGCUGUGUUUCCGCGCUGUGAGUCCCUCCACACAGAACAGCCCAGAGGCGGCAGAGAGACGCACCAACACAUCUCACAUGAGAGAGCGCGCAUCUGUUCUGUCCGCGUGGCUACAUACAGCAGGUGACUGGCUGAGCAUUUACAGAUAAACAUAAGGUUACGUUGUGAAGAAAUGUGGCUGCAAAAAAAAGAGGAAGGAUCUGAGGAUAGUUAUGUCAAUGCUGAAGGAGGACAAGGCCUCAAAGGGAUUAACAAAAGUGAGGCGCGGUAUGAACAUCUCCCCUCCCCUCAACAACGCUCGAAGAAAGAUGGCUGUGACAACUCCAACUGUUUUUCCUCCUGUCUCCUUUUUCUUUCUUCUGUUAAACAGGCUCAAAUGUUAUGGUUCCAAAGAACAUCUGGAGGGCGGCCAUGCAACCAGGCCAACAGUUCCACUGAUGGCAAGAGCGCUGUUGGGUGCUUUUGAUGUUGACAUGUUGCUGAAAAGCAACCUGCGAGGUAUGUACAGAGAUUGUAUAGACCAGGCCUGGACAAUUAUUUUCCAUGGAGGGCCACAUUAGAAUAGAUUUUUUUCAUCACGGGCCAGAAUCAUACAUGUGUAGGACUAUGUUGACAGAUAUAUCUACUGUAAAUCAUGUCCAGAUAUGCUACUUUAUUUUACUUUUUUAACAUGCAAAGAAAUGAACCACAUCCAUGUUCUCCUUUUGGUAGGUAUUUUCAUUAUUAAACAUCAAUGAACUACACGGAGGGAAAAGUACACUGUGCGUUCAGCACCACGGACAGAACUCUUGUUGACGAGUAUGCACAAAAACACAAGAAAAAGAGAGCUCAGCAUUAUAUUUAAACUACUCAAUCAGUGUGAGGAGUGAAGUGUCUGAUGGGCAUUGACUAAAGCAGUGAAGUCAGGUAUAGUUUCUGACGUCACCAUGCGCAGGAUAGGUGAGAGUCAGUAAGAGAUGAUCUGUGUUGGAAGGAGAGGACCAAAGCGCAGCAUGGUACGUGUUCAUACUUUUAUUAACAAAACAACAAAGAGAACAAACAAAACCGAAACAGUUCUGUCUGGUACAGACACAAAACAAAAAACAACUACCCACAAGACACAGGUGGAAAAGGCUACCUAAGUAUGGUUCUCAAUCAGAGACAACGAUAGACAGCUGCCUCUGAUUGAGAACCACACCCGGCCAAACACAGAAAUAGAAAACCGAACACAAAAUCAUAGAAUGCUCACCCCAACUCACGCCCUGACCAAACCAAAAUAGAGACAUAAAAAGGAUCUCUAAGGUCAGGGCGUGACACUGUGCCUUGACAUGUUAUAUUUCAUCACUGAAAAUGUCUGUUCACAUACAUAGGUUGACACAAACAGUACAAACAUCUUAUAAUCUUUGGAAAGUUUUGUUCAUUGAGAGAUGCAUAGAACCUCGUCAGUGACAUUGUUUUGAAUAGUUCUCCAAUCACUGCAUCAGACUGACGAUCGAUAAGCUCAAGUUGCAGGUCAGUGGGAGCGUUAUCCACAUUGAAGGUAAAAGGAGAGGAAACCAACAGCAUGUCAUUUUCCAACACUUUGAAAUCCUCAACACAACGAGAACUCGCUGUUCAAAGAAUGCAGCACCGAUGUAUACUUCUCCCGCUGGUCAUCUAAUAGGGAACAGACAAACAUUUACUACACAGACCGUGUCACUGUUCGUCUUGACAGACAAACAUUUUCCAACAGCUCUUUCUUGUCGGGGCAAAGUUUUGCUGCAUAGUCAAUUAAACAUUUUUUUAAUGAAUUCUCCCACUGCUUUUGCAGCUGAGAAAGCAACUCUUUUGAUGCACUUGCCCUCUGCUCAGAAGACAUAUUCCUAUUCUUCUCUGCAUGCUUCUUCUGGAAGUGUUGUAGUCUUUCAAGACAGUGAUGCUCUCUUUGCACACCAAGCACACAGCUUUCCCUGAUACCUCAAUGAGGUCAAUUUCUAUUCAACAAAUUGAAGCUGUUAAAGGGAUGGGUCACUUUUUUACACCUUUUAAAGUCAGAUGGCUAAGAAAAAAACUAUGGGUUACGGGGCAAUUAGUGGCUAUUUAAACAACUCUGAACCAUAGAUUACAGUUUUUCCUGGCCCAUGGACUACUUUCAGGGUAGGGAACCAUCUGACUGACUAUGGUGUAAAAAAGGUAACUCCCUUUAACAUCUUCAAUUUGUUGAAUAGAAAUUGACGUCAACCCUGUUAUGGGGUUCUCUUAAUUGAAUAUUGCAAAUAGGGCAUUAAUGGUCAAUGAUGUCUCAUUCAACAGAAUCUGAUUAGCUUUUCACAUAAAGGUUUUUUCAUUUAUUAUAUAUAUUUUUGAUUUACGACCCCAACACCUAACUGUUCUAUGUGCUCUUUAUCUUCUAGUUGUUGCUUUCCCCCUACAAAUGCUGUCAUUAAGCGCUUCCCGGGUGCAACAAAAGGACAAGUGGGAACGGCUUACAACUGUAAAAUGCCUGAAUUAAGAAGCAAUGAGAGAAACAAAUAAAAUGAAUAGGAUUAA